CGGAGACCUUCAGCGAGGCAACUGCUCUUAAGCUUUUAAAAUUCCAUUUUAUGAAGCCCCACCUUUCCCUGCUGAAGUACAGAUCUUUUCUCUAUUAGGAAGCUGGAGGAGCUGUUAUCAACCGUCUCACAUUAUCAGACUUCCUGGCUUAAGGAAUGUUUCUGGUUCCUGUAUUUGUGGAUCCUUAGCUCACAAGAAGCGACAGAUGGGAUGCAAGUGAGCACGAGUCAGUCUGACGGCCUGAAAACCACUCGAGGUCUCCUUAAUAGGCACACCACCUACGAUGGAUCCCCUACUCCACUGAGACGGAAUCAAUGCCCGGCUUCGCGCCUAGUAGCGGUAACGCUGUCAUUCCAGGACCCCCGGGGACAGUGCAAUGGAGCAACUCCCGCGGGGAGUUGGAGUGAGUGAGCUAGGAGCGGGUGAGGAGGACUACUCCUAGUCCUGAAGAGGCUAACCAAUGGCUUCCGAGGCAGGAGGUUCCCUCUACCACCCCAGCACCCUCCCUCCAUCUGAGUGAGCACUUUAUCCGUCUCCUUCCUGAGGAUCCGACUCACGAUCUGCGCCUCCCUUCCCAGGCGAUGCCUCCCUUUCUCCCGGCCCUGAGCCCCUGACCCAGCGGGGCAUCCUACCUCUUCCAAGCCUCAGAGGUGUCCACUUGCCAGCUUCGGUCACACGUGUGACCGCGGGUGUCCAGGAGGUGCAAGCGUCCGCACCCCGCCCCUCCCGGCCCCGCCCGCUGCAGGAGCUGGCCACCUCCAGAUGGCCCUAACCCUGAGGCUAGCACGACCUCAGGUGGCUCAGCACUGCACUUUUCUCCCAAGCACCUUUUCCCUGCUUCAGAGAGUCCCCAGCUUCAGAGAGGCUUUCGGGGACCACAGGCACUCCCUAAAAGGUGUGAUCCUGAAGCCCGGGUUCCUGGAUGGUCCAGGUGUACUGACUAUGGAGACUUCCUGUUAUGCAAAGUGAUUUCUGGCUUUGGAGGAAGGGAAUGCUCUGAGAGGGAAUAGCUCUGAAUUUCUUCAGCCAGGGGAACCACAGCUAACAUGUGGGACAAGUAGCCACUGACCACUCACUUGCCAAGGAAGGCUCCGAUGGGUGAUAUAUGGGCUUCUUCUUUUCUAUUCUUUUCUAAAUACACCCAUCCAUCCAUCCAUUGAUCCAUCGAUCCAUUGAUCCAUCCAUCCAUCCAUCUAUCCAUCCAUUCAUUCAUCCAAUCAAUCUGCUUUUUGCACAUUUGACAAAAAUCUGUCAGGUGGGCACAGUUCUGGAUUGGUGUGAGAAGAGUUCCCUUGUGGUGUUUAAGAUGCUACAACCUUUGCUGCUGUCUGUAGCACUUGUAGGUAAGAGACUGACUUUAUUUUGCACCAUUGCUGCCCCUUUGUACUCCCUAAAAACACGAAGAGAAUGCCAAGCACUAAAAUUCUCUUCACACUCAGGGAAGAACCAGGGAGAGGUACUACCGGAGGAAAAGCUGCUCUGUUUCCAAAAAAAGAGCUGAUUCACUAGCAUAACCAUAAAGGCUAUAUAAAUAAUUGGCUCCAAGAUAAUUUCCAAAUUGGCAAAUAAUUCUUACAUCAUUGAAAAGUGGAGACCAUGAGGAAAUAAACAAAGCUGUUAUCAGAGAACUAAGAGGUUCCAGUCCCCAGGUGGUCCCCCAGUCCCCGUUUGACCCUCCCGAGGGUCGGGACAAACUGACUCCUGAACAGGGACCCACGGGGAUUGAAGAGGAGAGAAUGGUGCUCAUCAUUGGAGGGUAGGCCUACCCUCUCAUCUUCAGAAGCACCAGAGAGUAGCUUCGGUUCAGCAGGAUGCCACAGUCCGGGAGGAUUACAGUGCGGUGCAAAUCUUUUUUUUUUUUUUAAAGAUUUAUUAUAUGUACAUACACAUUGUAGCUGUCCUCAGACAUACACAGAAGAAGGUGUCAGA
This is a long non-coding RNA of Mastomys coucha (southern multimammate mouse), 1929 nucleotides long. RefSeq lists it as uncharacterized. The transcript is spliced from 4 exons. NCBI's taxonomy places the organism in Eukaryota, Metazoa, Chordata, Mammalia, Rodentia, Muridae. The record is from RefSeq and is a predicted model, not a curated record.